RNAcentral lists this ribosomal RNA (454 nucleotides) under uncultured bacterium. RNAcentral's name for it is "partial 16S ribosomal RNA". It matches the Rfam family "Bacterial small subunit ribosomal RNA", at positions 28 to 507 of the family's 1533-position model. The record is from RNAcentral.
GAUGAACGCUGACAGAAUGCUUAACACAUGCAAGUCAACUUGAACUUCGGUUUGGGUGGCGGCCGGGUGAGUAACGCGUAAAGAACUUGCCUCACAGCUAGGGACAACAUUUGGAAACGAAUGCUAAUACCUGAUAUUAUGAUUUUAGGGCAUCCUAGAAUUAUGAAAGCUAUAUGCGCUGUGAGAGAGCUUUGCGUCCCAUUAGCUAGUUGGAGAGGUAACGGCUCACCAAGGCGAUGAUGGGUAGCCGGCCUGAGAGGGUGAACGGCCACAAGGGGACUGAGACACGGCCCUUACUCCUACGGGAGGCAACAGUGGGGAAUAUUGGACAAUGGACCAAGAGUCUGAUCCAGCAAUUCUGUGUGCACGAUGAAGUUUUUCGGAAUGUAAAGUGCUUUCAGUUGGGAAGAAAAAAAUGACGGUACCAACAGAAGAAGUGACGGCUAAAUACGUG